This 766-nucleotide ribosomal RNA is filed under the name uncultured bacterium. Its description in RNAcentral is "bacterial SSU rRNA". It matches the Rfam family "Bacterial small subunit ribosomal RNA", at positions 8 to 771 of the family's 1533-position model. The record is from RNAcentral.
AGAGUUUGAUCAUGGCUCAGAUUGAACGCUGGCGGAAUGCUUUACACAUGCAAGUCGAGCGGCAGCGCGGGGCAACCUGGCGGCGAGCGGCGAACGGGUGAGUAAUGCAUCGGAACAUGUCCAGUCGUGGGGGAUAGCCCGCCGAAAGGCGGAUUAAUACCGCAUACGCCCGAGAGGGGAAAGCGGGGGACCGUAAGGCCUCGCGCGAUUGGGUUGGCCGAUGUCCGAUUAGCUUGUUGGUGAGGUAAAGGCUUACCAAGGCGAUGAUCGGUAGCUGGUCUGAGAGGAUGAUCAGCCACACUGGGACCGAGACACGGCCCAGACUCCUACGGGAGGCAGCAGUGGGGAAUUUUGGACAAUGGGGGAAACCCUGAUCCAGCCAUUCCGCGUGAGUGAAGAAGGCCUUCGGGUUGUAAAGCUCUUUUGUCCGGAACGAAACGGUGCAGGUGAAUAUCCUGCGCUACUGACGGUACCGGAAGAAUAAGCACCGGCUAACUACGUGCCAGCAGCCGCGGUAAUACGUAGGGUGCAAGCGUUAAUCGGAAUUACUGGGCGUAAAGCGUGCGCAGGCGGUUUUGUAAGCCAGAUGUGAAAGCCCCGGGCUUAACCUGGGAAUGGCAUUUGGGACUGCAAGGCUUGAGUAUGGCAGAGGGGACUAGAAUUCCUGGUGUAGCAGUGAAAUGCGUAGAUAUCAGGAGGAAUACCGAUGGCGAAGGCAGGUCCCUGGGUUAAUACUGACGCUCAUGCACGAAAGCGUGGGGAGCAA